GGGGAAUAUUGCACAAUGGAGGAAACUCUGAUGCAGCGACGCCGCGUGAGUGAAGAAGGUCUUCGGAUCGUAAAACUCUGUCCUUGGUGACGAAAAAAAUGACGGUAGCCAAGGAGGAAGCCCCGGCUAACUACGUGCCAGCAGCCGCGGUAAUACGUAGGGGGCGAGCGUUGUCCGGAUUUACUGGGCGUAAAGGGUGAGUAGGCGGUAAUGUGUGUCAGAUGUUUAAUCUAUGAGCUCAACUCAUAUCAGCAUUUGAAACUACAUAACUUGAGUGCAGGAGAGGUAAGUGGAAUUCCUAGUGUAGCGGUGGAAUGCGUAGAUAUUAGGAGGAACACCGGUGGCGAAGGCGACUUACUGGACUGUAACUGACGCUGAGACACGAAAGCGUGGGGAGCGAACA
RNAcentral lists this ribosomal RNA (403 nucleotides) under uncultured Sedimentibacter sp. RNAcentral describes it as "bacterial SSU rRNA". It matches the Rfam family "Bacterial small subunit ribosomal RNA", at positions 356 to 774 of the family's 1533-position model. The record is from RNAcentral. Lineage: Bacteria; Bacillati; Bacillota; Tissierellia.